This 270-nucleotide ribosomal RNA is filed under the name uncultured archaeon. RNAcentral describes it as "partial 16S ribosomal RNA". It matches the Rfam family "Archaeal small subunit ribosomal RNA", at positions 477 to 747 of the family's 1478-position model. The record is from RNAcentral.
CAGCACCUCAAGUGGUCAGGAUGAUUAUUGGGCCUAAAGCAUCCGUAGCCGGCGCUGUAAGUUUUCGGUUAAAUCUGUACGCUCAACGUACAGGCUGCCGGGAAUACUGCAGCGCUAGGGAGUGGGAGAGGUAGACGGUACUCGGUAGGAAGGGGUAAAAUCCUUUGAUCUCUUGAUGACCACCUGUGGCGAAGGCGGUCUACCAGAACACGUCCGACGGUGAGGGAUGAAAGCUGGGGGAGCAAACCGGAUUAGAUACCCGAGUAGUCC